RNAcentral lists this ribosomal RNA (301 nucleotides) under uncultured bacterium. Its description in RNAcentral is "partial 16S ribosomal RNA". It matches the Rfam family "Bacterial small subunit ribosomal RNA", at positions 509 to 807 of the family's 1533-position model. The record is from RNAcentral.
CAGCAGCCGCGGGAAUACAGAGGGUGCGAGCGUUAAUCGGAUUUACUGGGCGUAAAGCGUGCGUAGGCGGCUUCUUAAGUCGGAUGUGAAAUCCCAGGGCUUAACCUUGGAACUGCAUUUUUAACUCCCGGACUAGAGUAUGUCAGAGGGGGGUGGAAUUCCACGUGUAGCAGUGAAAUGCGUAGAUACGUGGAGGAACACCGAUGGCGAAGGCAGCCACCUGGGAUAAUACUGACGCCCAUGCACGAAAGCGUGGGGAGCAAACAGGAUUAGAUACCCCAGUAGUCCCUGUCUCUUAUAC